RNAcentral lists this ribosomal RNA (478 nucleotides) under uncultured bacterium. RNAcentral's name for it is "bacterial SSU rRNA". It matches the Rfam family "Bacterial small subunit ribosomal RNA", at positions 27 to 518 of the family's 1533-position model. The record is from RNAcentral.
CACGGACGAACGCUGGCGGCGUGCCUAACACAUGCAAGUCGAGCGAGGUGAUCCCUCGGGGAUGAACCUAGCGGCGGACGGGUGAGUAACACGUGGGCAACCUGCCUUAGUAGAGGGGAAUAGCCUCCCGAAAGGGAGAUUAAUACCGCAUAACAUUGAAGUUUCGCAUGAAACUUCAAUCAAAGGAGCAAUCCGCUAUAAGAUGGGCCCGCGGCGCAUUAGCUAGUUGGUGAGGUAACGGCUCACCAAGGCGACGAUGCGUAGCCGACCUGAGAGGGUGAUCGGCCACAUUGGGACUGAGACACGGCCCAGACUCCUACGGGAGGCAGCAGUGGGGAAUAUUGCACAAUGGGGGAAACCCUGAUGCAGCAACGCCGCGUGAGUGAUGAAGGUUUUCGGAUCGUAAAGCUCUGUCUUCAGGGACGAUAAUGACGGUACCUGAGGAGGAAGCCACGGCUAACUACGUGCCAGCCGCUGC